CCACAUUCACAUAUAGGAAUGAGUCUGCAUUUUCAAUGCUUAUCACAAGUCACAUUUUUUCAAGGAAUGGAUCAUAAUUAGUGACGUGCUUUACUAUUUUCAUACCUAUUUGAUGGUAAAUACUGCCUUCACAUUUUGAAGGACUAUUUUGAGAAUUUUUUUUAUUCUCCUUUUAUAAUUACAGUGAUGAUUGUUAUUUUUUUGAUCUUUGGAACGCUCACGUUUAUUGUUCAACCACUUAUCUUCAUUCAGACUCAUUAUACGUUGCUGUCACAUUCACUUCAAGAAUGGAGCAAAUCAAGUGGGACAAUUUUCAUGCCUUUAAUGAAAAAUAUAUUAUUUUUCUUUUGUCAUCACUAUGUCAUCAAUAUGGUACAAUGAGACUCAAACCCAAUGUCUUACCAAUAUAAAUGCAUAUUAGGCUAUAAUGAAUUG
Molecule: long non-coding RNA, 435 nt
Filed under: Nicotiana benthamiana
Lineage: Eukaryota; Viridiplantae; Streptophyta; Magnoliopsida; Solanales; Solanaceae
Description: long non-coding RNA (NBEN_LNC005031)
Source: RNAcentral